Molecule: ribosomal RNA, 443 nt
Filed under: uncultured bacterium
Lineage: Bacteria
Description: partial 16S ribosomal RNA
Rfam family: Bacterial small subunit ribosomal RNA
Source: RNAcentral
CCUACGGGAGGCAGCAGUGGGGAAUAUUGGACAAUGGGGGGAACCCUGAUCCAGCGACGCCGCGUGAGUGAAGAAGUAUUUCGGUAUGUAAAGCUCUAUCAGCAGGGAAGAAAGAAAUGACGGUACCUGACUAAGAAGCCCCGGCUAACUACGUGCCAGCAGCCGCGGUAAUACGUAGGGGGCAAGCGUUAUCCGGAUUUACUGGGUGUAAAGGGAGCGUAGACGGCGAUGCAAGUCUGAAGUGAAAGGCGGGGGCCCAACCCCCGGACUGCUUUGGAAACUGUAUGGCUGGAGUGCAGGAGAGGUAAGUGGAAUUCCUGGUGUAGCGGUGAAAUGCGUAGAUAUUAGGAGGAACACCAGUGGCGAAGGCAGCUUACCGGCGCCCGACUGACGCUGAGGCACGAAAGCGUGGGUAUCGAACAGGAUUAGAUACCCGGGUAGUC